This 764-nucleotide ribosomal RNA is filed under the name uncultured Streptococcus sp. RNAcentral's name for it is "bacterial SSU rRNA". It matches the Rfam family "Bacterial small subunit ribosomal RNA", at positions 28 to 776 of the family's 1533-position model. The record is from RNAcentral. Lineage: Bacteria; Bacillati; Bacillota; Bacilli; Lactobacillales; Streptococcaceae.
GACGAACGCUGGCGGCGUGCCUAAUACAUGCAAGUAGAACGCUGAAGGAGGAGCUUGCUCUUCUGGAUGAGUUGCGAACGGGUGAGUAACGCGUAGGUAACCUGCCUGGUAGCGGGGGAUAACUAUUGGAAACGAUAGCUAAUACCGCAUAAGAGUAGAUGUCGCAUGACAUUUGCUUAAAAGGUGCAAUUGCAUCACUACCAGAUGGACCUGCGUUGUAUUAGCUAGUUGGUGAGGUAACGGCUCACCAAGGCAACGAUACAUAGCCGACCUGAGAGGGUGAUCGGCCACACUGGGACUGAGACACGGCCCAGACUCCUACGGGAGGCAGCAGUAGGGAAUCUUCGGCAAUGGACGGAAGUCUGACCGAGCAACGCCGCGUGAGUGAAGAAGGUUUUCGGAUCGUAAAGCUCUGUUGUAAGAGAAGAACGAGUGUGAGAGUGGAAAGUUCACACUGUGACGGUAUCUUACCAGAAAGGGACGGCUAACUACGUGCCAGCAGCCGCGGUAAUACGUAGGUGGCAAGCGUUAUCCGGAUUUAUUGGGCGUAAAGAGAGUGCAGGCGGUUUUCUAAGUCUGAUGUGAAAGCCUUCGGCUUAACCGGAGAAGUGCAUCGGAAACUGGAUAACUUGAGUGCAGAAGAGGGUAGUGGAACUCCAUGUGUAGCGGUGGAAUGCGUAGAUAUAUGGAAGAACACCAGUGGCGAAGGCGGCUACCUGGUCUGCAACUGACGCUGAGACUCGAAAGCAUGGGUAGCGAACAGG